CAAUAGCGUAUAUUAAAGUUGUUGCGGUUAAAAAGCUCGUAGUUGGAUUUCUGCUGAAAACGACCGGUCCGCCCUCUGGGUGAGUAUCUGGCUCGGCUUUGGCAUCUUCUUGGUGAACGUUGCUGCGCUUCACUGCGUGGUGCGGUAUCUACGACUUUUACUUUGAGGAAAUUAGAGUGUUCACGGCAGGCAAUCGCCUUGAAUAUAUUAGCAUGGAAUAAUAACAUAGGAUCUUUGUCCUAUUUUGUUGGUUUCUAGGGCUGAGAUAAUGAUUAAUAGGGAUAAUUGGGGGCAUCUGUAUCAACGCGUCAGAGGUGGAAUUCUUGGAUUGCGUUGCGACAAACUACUGCGAAAGCAUUUGCCAAGGAUGUUUUCAUUGA
This 380-nucleotide ribosomal RNA is filed under the name uncultured eukaryote. RNAcentral's name for it is "partial 18S ribosomal RNA". It matches the Rfam family "Eukaryotic small subunit ribosomal RNA", at positions 592 to 976 of the family's 1831-position model. The record is from RNAcentral.